Long non-coding RNA from Limulus polyphemus (Atlantic horseshoe crab), 1232 nucleotides. RefSeq lists it as uncharacterized. The transcript is spliced from 3 exons. The record is from RefSeq and is a predicted model, not a curated record. Lineage: Eukaryota; Metazoa; Arthropoda; Merostomata; Xiphosura; Limulidae.
UGAUUAGUGUUAUUUCUGUACAGUGUGUGUAUGUUUUCUUACGUUACAACUGGUUUAGAGUUAGGUCUGAUUAAUGAUAUUCCUUACAGUGUCUGUAGGUCUUCUUACAUUACAACUGGUUUAGGGUUAGGCCUGGGUAGUGUUGUUCCUGUCCUGUACAGUGUCUAUCGGUUUUCUUACGUUACAAAUGCUUUAGGGUUAGGGCUGGUUAGUAUCCCCCCCCCCCCCUACAAUCUCUUAUCGAUGGUAUGAACUUUGAAGAAGAUUCCUUUUCACUUCUUAUCAUUACGUUGGUAUGAAUUGUGGAAAUCGUGAUCAUCAUUACCCAGGAAGAAAAAAGGAAAUGUCGUAAUAUAUUUGAUUAUCAAAUUAUUGAGAAGAUGUUUGUAAAUUGAGAAACGAUAACGUAUCUGUUUUAUCGGACUACGAGAAAGUUGAGAUAUAACAUAUUACAUGUUACGCAGGAACAGAAAACAAAUGUACUCUUGUUAUAUCUGAAAGUCCAAGUGUCAGUUUAAUUUCAAAGAAAGAAAAUCAUGUGAAGACUAAAAUGGAUUGGUGUGUACUGUAACGACGUGGUGAGACUCCAAAAUAGUUUUAUUAUUACGUACUCGACUUUUUAAAACUCCCUUAAUUAAAAGGUUAAGUUUUAAAUUUUCCUUUUUUAAAAAACUAAAAACCUUUACUAUCAAAUCACGGAUGGCUGGUCGAGAGGAUGGACAAACUUCUCAAAGCACGGAUGGCUGGUCGAGAGGAUGGACAAACUUCUUCUGAGAAUUUCAGAGGAAAACAAAGAGUAAAAUAGUUUGGGUUUUACAGUUUCCUUGAGCGCUAAAAGAGAACAACAAAAAAACACAGUUUUAUGCUCCAGUUGCUACACGUCGCUCCUUCUUAAAAUUUACGUCACAGACUUACAUUUAUAUUCAAAGAAGCGCAUCCGUCGUCUCCGUUAUCCGGACUUCAAACGACAUCUUGAAAGACAGGAUGAAAUGAGACAAUACACUUUUCGAUAAGGGCAACAUUGGAAGUUCUAUCGAUUGGCUAUCACACCCAUGCGCACAAGCAAUGAUAUCCUGGCGACGACAGUAUAUAGCAGAGGAACUCUCCGCUUUUCAUAGACCAGCGCUAACACUUAACUGCUCUACACACCGGCGUAACGAGACACAGUCCAAAGACCGAACACCUCAAGCCAGAAGAAAGUAUUCCUAUUAAAACCACCUUCACGUCAUAAA